GACGAACGCUGGCGGCGUGCUUAACACAUGCAAGUCGAACGGAAAGGCCCCUUUGGGGGUACUCGAGUGGCGAACGGGUGAGUAACACGUGAGUAACCUGCCCUUGACUUCGGGAUAACUUCAGGAAACUGGGGCUAAUACCGGAUAGGAAUCCUUGCUGCAUGGUGGGGGUUGGAAAGCUUCGGCGGUUUUGGAUGGACUCGCGGCUGAUCAGCUUGUUGGUGGGGUAGUGGCUUACCAAGGCUUUGACGGGUAGCCGGCCUGAGAGGGCGACCGGCCACAUUGGGACUGAGAUACGGCCCAGACUCCUACGGGAGGCAGCAGUGGGGAAUAUUGCACAAUGGGCGGAAGCCUGAUGCAGCAACGCCGCGUGCGGGAUGACGGCCUUCGGGUUGUAAACCGCUUUCAGCAGGGGCGAAGCUUGUGGUGACGGUACCUGCAGAAGAAGCACCGGCUAACUACGUG
RNAcentral lists this ribosomal RNA (465 nucleotides) under uncultured bacterium. RNAcentral describes it as "partial 16S ribosomal RNA". It matches the Rfam family "Bacterial small subunit ribosomal RNA", at positions 28 to 507 of the family's 1533-position model. The record is from RNAcentral.